Vicia faba (fava bean) is the source of this 357-nucleotide non-coding RNA. The record is from the annotation of a GenBank genome assembly. NCBI's taxonomy places the organism in Eukaryota, Viridiplantae, Streptophyta, Magnoliopsida, Fabales, Fabaceae.
AUGACCUUUGAGCUUCUAAGAGAAAUCAGAUUCUUCUUCCUCUUCUUUCAUCAACAGCGGCCGCGACCUCCCUUUAUCCUCCGAUACACAACCAUCGCUGUGAAUCCGCAAGACAAAAUCCAACACCGUCGUUCAUUCUCUUUUCCUACUCAACUUCUCGGGUCUUCCCUAAGCUCAAUCGCUCUUCUUAUCGCCGCCAAACAGACCAUGAAUACCUCCUUCUCAUCCUCGCCAAGCUUCUUCCUCACUCCCUAUCGUUCUCUUCCAUCGACGAUUCCAAUUUCUGAGGAUCUCCCGUCUUCAUCUGAUCUUGUUUGUUCAGGAUUCGAGGUUCGGCGAUUCGUUCCUCAGUCGUGA